Molecule: ribosomal RNA, 440 nt
Filed under: uncultured bacterium
Lineage: Bacteria
Description: partial 16S ribosomal RNA
Rfam family: Bacterial small subunit ribosomal RNA
Source: RNAcentral
CCUACGGGAGGCAGCAGUGGGGAAUAUUGCACAAUGGGGGAAACCCUGAUGCAGCGACGCCGCGUGAGUGAAGAAGUAUUUCGGUAUGUAAAGCUCUAUCAGCAGGGAAGAAAAUGACGGUACCUGAUUAAGAAGCCCCGGCUAACUACGUGCCAGCAGCCGCGGUAAUACGUAGGGGGCAAGCGUUAUCCAGAUUUACUGGGUGUAAGGGGAGCGUAGACGGCAGCACAAGUCUGGAGUGAAAUGCCGGGGCUUAACCCCGGAACUGCUUUGGAAACUGUGCAGCUAGAGUGCAUGAGAGGUAAGUGGAAUUCCUAGUGUAGCGGUGAAAUGCGUAGAUAUUAGGAGGAACACCAGUGGCGAAGGCGGCUUACUGGACUGUAACUGACGUUGAGGCUCGAAAGCGUGGGGAGCAAACAGGAUUAGAUACCCCGGUAGUC